GACGAACGCUGGCGGCGUGCUUAACACAUGCAAGUCGAACGGAAAGGCCCUGCUUUUGUGGGGUGCUCGAGUGGCGAACGGGUGAGUAACACGUGAGUAACCUGCCCUUGACUGUGGGAUAACUUCAGGAAACUGGGGCUAAUACCGGAUAGGAGCUCCUGCUGCACGGUGGGGGUUGGAAAGUUUCGGCGGUUGGGGAUGGACUCGCGGCUUAUCAGCUUGUUGGUGGGGUAGUGGCUUACCAAGGCUUUGACGGGUAGCCGGCCUGAGAGGGUGACCGGCCACAGUGGGACUGGGAUACGGCCCAGACUCCUACGGGAGGCAGCAGUGGGGAAUAUUGCACGAUGGGCGGAAGCCUGAUGCAGCAACGCCGCGUGCGGGAUGACGGCCUUCGGGUUGUAAACCGCGUUCGCCUGUGACGAAGCGUGAGUGACGGUAAUGGGUAAAGAAGCACCGGCUAACUACGUG
This 468-nucleotide ribosomal RNA is filed under the name uncultured bacterium. RNAcentral describes it as "partial 16S ribosomal RNA". It matches the Rfam family "Bacterial small subunit ribosomal RNA", at positions 28 to 507 of the family's 1533-position model. The record is from RNAcentral.